Molecule: ribosomal RNA, 466 nt
Filed under: Selenomonas sp. oral taxon H23
Lineage: Bacteria; Bacillati; Bacillota; Negativicutes; Selenomonadales; Selenomonadaceae
Description: bacterial SSU rRNA
Rfam family: Bacterial small subunit ribosomal RNA
Source: RNAcentral
GACGAACGCUGGCGGCGUGCUUAACACAUGCAAGUCGAACGGAGCGAAUGAAAGCUUGCUUUUAUGAGCUUAGUGGCAAACGGGUGAGUAACACGUAGACAACCUGCCGAUCAGAUGGGGACAACAUUCCGAAAGGAAUGCUAAUACCGAAUGAAGUGUGGGGGAGGCAUCUUCCCUACAUGAAAGAUGGCCUCUAUUUAUAAGCUAUCACUGAUCGAUGGGUCUGCGUCUGAUUAGCUAGUAGGUAAGGUAACGGCUUACCUAGGCGACGAUCAGUAGCCGGUCUGAGAGGAUGAACGGCCACAUUGGGACUGAGACACGGCCCAGACUCCUACGGGAGGCAGCAGUGGGGAAUCUUCCGCAAUGGGCGCAAGCCUGACGGAGCAACGCCGCGUGAGUGAAGAAGGUCUUCGGAUCGUAAAGCUCCGUUGCAAGGGGACGAACGUACAUAAGUGAAUAAGCUUAU